Molecule: ribosomal RNA, 253 nt
Filed under: uncultured bacterium
Lineage: Bacteria
Description: partial 16S ribosomal RNA
Rfam family: Bacterial small subunit ribosomal RNA
Source: RNAcentral
UACAGAGGGUGCAAGCGUUGUUCGGAAUUAUUGGGCGUAAAGAGCUCGUAGGCGGUCUGUUGCGUCCGCUGUGAAAACUCGGGGCUUAACCCCGAGCCUGCAGUGGAUACGGGCAGACUAGAGGUAGGUAGGGGAGAAUGGAAUUCCCGGUGUAGCGGUGAAAUGCGCAGAUAUCGGGAGGAACACCGGUGGCGAAGGCAGCCUUCUGGGCCAACACUGACGCUCAUGCACGAAAGCGUGGGGAGCAAACAGG